This is a non-coding RNA of Ictidomys tridecemlineatus (thirteen-lined ground squirrel), 69 nucleotides long. Lineage: Eukaryota; Metazoa; Chordata; Mammalia; Rodentia; Sciuridae. The record is from Rfam.
GGGGUUGUGGCUCAGUGGUACAGUGCUUGCUUGCCAUGCAAGGGGCACUGGGUUCGAUCCUCAGCACCA